GAAGCUGAAGUCCGACAUGGAAGGCCUCCUGGUACAAACAGAAGUGGCCAGGAGGAGGGGCACUGGCUCGGUCAGUUGGCCCGGGAAGCUCUAGCUCGUACUCCGAAGGAACUCCAUACUGAAUUCUUAUCAGUGAGAGUUUAUUCAGAGUCAAGGAGCCGGGGAUGGUGUCUGGCACAAAGGCCAGACAAGGUUCGGUCCUAGCUAUGGGUUCGUCUACGAUAUAAGGACUUUGGGGAACCGAGGCUAGCGAACUCCUAGAAUUGCUAGAAGAGGAGAUAUCAGAAGACAUUGUGAAUCAAAUGGAAGCCACAGAAAUCCUAAAAAAAUCAGAAAAAAUAGCAAACAAGCCCUCGAGGAAGAUAAACGAGCAGAACACGAAGAAGAAAGGACAGAAAAAUGACAAGAAGUUCCGAAACUAACCUAGAUUAGCCCCAG
This 438-nucleotide long non-coding RNA is filed under the name Elaeis guineensis (African oil palm). RNAcentral describes it as "long non-coding RNA (EGUI_LNC079511)". The record is from RNAcentral. Lineage: Eukaryota; Viridiplantae; Streptophyta; Magnoliopsida; Arecales; Arecaceae.